This 327-nucleotide ribosomal RNA is filed under the name Triticum aestivum (bread wheat). RNAcentral's name for it is "partial small subunit ribosomal RNA". Lineage: Eukaryota; Viridiplantae; Streptophyta; Magnoliopsida; Poales; Poaceae. The record is from RNAcentral.
AUGCUCCUGCGUAAGUCCGAGUUCCUUAUCUCUGAGGUGGGGUUGGAACCGGCCUACAUUGCUCGUCUGCCGGUAAUGCUCUGUCUUAGCCUGGAGGGCCGGCUCAGGCCCAGGUACGAUGUUAUAAUGUUUCUAAUGGCAAAUGGAUUGCUCAAGCGCGUCCCCAAGUACUAUCCAAUCUUCAGGGCAACCGAUAAGGCAUUCUUUGAGGCGUAUAUAUACCCUCAUAAGGAAGCUGCACCGCACCUCGCUGAGUACUAUGCCACAGCUUGCCGAGGGGAAGUGCCCACUGGAUUCACAUUGACAGGAACCAAGAAUGGGCUAUGA